UACGAAGGGGGCUAGCGUUGCUCGGAUUUACUGGGCGUAAAGGGCGCGUAGGCGGACAGUUUAGUCAGAGGUGAAAGCCCAGGGCUCAACCUUGGAAUUGCCUUUGAUACUGGCUGUCUUGAGUACGGGAGAGGAUAGUGGAAUUCCCAGUGUAGAGGUGAAAUUCGUAGAUAUUGGGAAGAACACCGGUGGCGAAGGCGGCUAUCUGGACCGUAACUGACGCUGAGGCGCGAAAGCGUGGGGAGCAAACAGG
This 253-nucleotide ribosomal RNA is filed under the name uncultured bacterium. Its description in RNAcentral is "partial 16S ribosomal RNA". It matches the Rfam family "Bacterial small subunit ribosomal RNA", at positions 524 to 776 of the family's 1533-position model. The record is from RNAcentral.